GAUGAACGCUGGCGGCGUGCCUAAUACAUGCAAGUCGAGCGAACGGACGAGAAGCUUGCUUUUCUGAUGUUAGCGGCGGACGGGUGAGUAACACGUGGAUAACCUACCUAUAAGACUGGGAUAACUUCGGGAAACCGGAGCUAAUACCGGAUAAUAUUUUGAACCGCAUGGUUCAUAAGUGAAAGACGGUCUUGCUGUCACUUAUAGAUGGAUCCGCGCUGCAUUAGCUAGUUGGUAAGGUAACGGCUUACCAAGGCAACGAUGCAUAGCCGACCUGAGAGGGUGAUCGGCCACAAUGGAACUGAGACACGGUCCAGACUCCUACGGGAGGCAGCAGUAGGGAAUCUUCCGCAAUGGGCGAAAGCCUGACGGAGCAACGAAGCGUGAGUGAUGAAGGUCUUCGGAUCGUAAAACUCUGUUAUUAGGGAAGAACAUAUGUGUAAGUAACUGUGCAAAUCGUGACGGUACCUAAUCAGAAAGCCACGGCUAACUACGUG
Molecule: ribosomal RNA, 497 nt
Filed under: uncultured bacterium
Lineage: Bacteria
Description: partial 16S ribosomal RNA
Rfam family: Bacterial small subunit ribosomal RNA
Source: RNAcentral